GCUCCAAUAGCGUAUAUUUAAGUUGUUGCAGUUAAAAAGCUCGUAGUUGGACUUUGGGAUGGGCCGGCCGGUCCGCCUAGGUGUGCACCGGUCGUCUCGUCCUUCUGUCGGCGAUGCGCUCCUGGCCUUAAUUGGCCGGGUCGUGCCUCCGGCGCUGUUACUUUGAAGAAAUUAGAGUGCUCAAAGCAAGCCUACGCUCU
RNAcentral lists this ribosomal RNA (200 nucleotides) under uncultured eukaryote. RNAcentral describes it as "partial 18S ribosomal RNA". It matches the Rfam family "Eukaryotic small subunit ribosomal RNA", at positions 588 to 794 of the family's 1831-position model. The record is from RNAcentral.